GAUGAACGCUGGCGGCGUGCCUAAUACAUGCAAGUCGAGCGAACGGACGAGAAGCUUGCUUUUCUGAUGUUAGCGGCGGACGGGUGAGUAACACGUGGAUAACCUACCUAUAGGACUGGGAUAACUUCGGGAAACCGGAGCUAAUACCGGAUAAUAUUUUGAACCGCAUGGUUCAAAAGUGAAAGACGGUCUUGCUGUCACUUAUAGAUGGAUCCGCGCUGCAUUAGCUAGUUGGUAAGGUAACGGCUUACCAAGGCAACGAUGCAUAGCCGACCUGAGAGGGUGAUCGGCCACACUGGAACUGAGACACGGUCCAGACUCCUACGGGAGGCAGCAGUAGGGAAUCUUCCGCAAUGGGCGAAAGCCUGACGGAGCAACGCCGCGUGAGUGAUGAAGGUCUUCGGAUCGUAAAACUCUGUUAUUAGGGAAGAACAUAUGUGUAAGUAACUGUGCACAGCUUGACGGUACCUAAUCAGAAAGCCACGGCUAACUACGUG
RNAcentral lists this ribosomal RNA (497 nucleotides) under uncultured bacterium. RNAcentral's name for it is "partial 16S ribosomal RNA". It matches the Rfam family "Bacterial small subunit ribosomal RNA", at positions 28 to 507 of the family's 1533-position model. The record is from RNAcentral.